GUCGAACGAGAGAUGAAGAGCUUGCUCUUCGAAUCGAGUGGCGAACGGGUGAGUAACGCGUGAGGAACCUGCCUCAAAGAGGGGGACAACAGUUGGAAACGACUGCUAAUACCGCAUAAGCCCACGGCUCGGCAUCGAGCAGAGGGAAAAGGAGUGAUCCGCUUUGAGAUGGCCUCGCGUCCGAUUAGCUGGUUGGUGAGGUAACGGCCCACCAAGGCGACGAUCGGUAGCCGGACUGAGAGGUUGAACGGCCACAUUGGGACUGAGACACGGCCCAGACUCCUACGGGAGGCAGCAGUGGGGAAUAUUGCACAAUGGGGGAAACCCUGAUGCAGCGACGCCGCGUGGAGGAAGAAGGUCUUCGGAUUGUAAACUCCUGUUGUUGAGGAAGAUAAUGACGGUACUCAACAAGGAAGUGACGGCUAACUACGUGCCAGCAGCCGCGGUGAAACGUAGGUCACAAGCGUUGUCCGGAAUUACUGGGUGUAAAGGGAGCGCAGGCGGGAGAACAAGUUGGAAGUGAAAUCCAUGGGCUCAACCCAUGAACUGCUUUCAAAACUGUUUUUCUUGAGUAGUGCAGAGGUAGGCGGAAUUCCCGGUGUAGCGGUGGAAUGCGUAGAUAUCGGGAGGAACACCAGUGGCGAAGGCG
This 649-nucleotide ribosomal RNA is filed under the name uncultured Lachnospiraceae bacterium. RNAcentral describes it as "bacterial SSU rRNA". It matches the Rfam family "Bacterial small subunit ribosomal RNA", at positions 61 to 723 of the family's 1533-position model. The record is from RNAcentral. Lineage: Bacteria; Bacillati; Bacillota; Clostridia; Lachnospirales; Lachnospiraceae.